This 67-nucleotide transfer RNA is filed under the name Petrosaltator rozeti (North African sengi). RNAcentral's name for it is "tRNA-Val". It matches the Rfam family "tRNA". Rfam says of the family: Transfer RNA (tRNA) molecules are approximately 80 nucleotides in length. Their secondary structure includes four short double-helical elements and three loops (D, anti-codon, and T loops). Further hydrogen bonds mediate the characteristic L-shaped molecular structure. tRNAs have two regions of fundamental functional importance: the anti-codon, which is responsible for specific mRNA codon recognition, and the 3' end, to which the tRNAs corresponding amino acid is attached (by aminoacyl-tRNA synthetases). tRNAs cope with the degeneracy of the genetic code in two manners: having more than one tRNA (with a specific anti-codon) for a particular amino acid; and 'wobble' base-pairing, i.e. permitting non-standard base-pairing at the 3rd anti-codon position. Lineage: Eukaryota; Metazoa; Chordata; Mammalia; Macroscelidea; Macroscelididae. The record is from RNAcentral.
CAAAGUGUAGCUUAUAUUAAAGCACCUGGCCUACACCCAGAAGAUUUCAUAAACAUGACCACUUUGA